Molecule: long non-coding RNA, 889 nt
Organism: Tupaia belangeri chinensis (Chinese tree shrew)
Lineage: Eukaryota; Metazoa; Chordata; Mammalia; Scandentia; Tupaiidae
Exons: 3
Source: RefSeq, a predicted model, not a curated record
CCAAGAGCCUGUGAGUUGACUUAAGGAAAGUUUACACAGAGGGAGUUAGAGGUGGGAGGGUCCCCUCUUCCUGCCUUAGAGAGGAGUUCAGCGUCACACAUAUGUUCUUUAGGCAAAGCUGUUUUCCUCCUCCACUGAAAUGCAGGUGCUCCUUUCCCUAUAAAUAGGGUGGUCAUAUAAUUUAUGCACCAAAUCAGGAUAUCUAUGAAAGGAGAUCAUUAUAUGAGAAACAACAGGAUUCUCUGGGCAAACUAGGACAUUUGACAGUUCCACUUGUAAACACAUGCUUUACAAACAAUGCACACAGGAAAAUGGCUUCCUGUACCCUGCUCUUGAAGGCUUCAGUGCUGCAGAAAAUUGAGAAAUUUGGAAAUCUGGAAGCUUUUGAAUAACAUGUGGGUUCAGAAGUGAAUUAAGGAAUGAUAUUGAAGAAUCAGCAGACUUUCAGGAAGACUAUUGUAUAUACCACAUUUCAUGCACAGGUAUCUGAAGGAGAAAUGAAAUACCCACCAGCAGGAGAGGAGAGUGUCUAUUUCCUUAUACUCUCACCCAUGUGUCUUCUUAAAUCUUGUGAAGGAUGGCCCAGCCUCUGUGGUACCGUUGGAAGCAAGCCAGACAUCAAAGCUGGAAGUCACAUGCUGACUGCAAUCUGAGUCCUUGGCAGGACUAGGACAAGGACAAGGACAGGCUGGUUUGUGUCCGAGUUCUACUUGCUGCCAGCCUGCCUGAAGCCUGUGGCAUCUCACCAGGAUCUGCUUCUCUGAAACCCUUCAGAAUAAAUGGCUCUUCUGCCCUGUUCAUUGUAAACACCAACACUUGACUUUUAAUUAAUGGAAGCGAAUGCAUUUCUUUAAUACAUACAGAAAUAAAAGAUUGAUUUAUGUCUUGU